Molecule: ribosomal RNA, 492 nt
Filed under: uncultured bacterium
Lineage: Bacteria
Description: partial 16S ribosomal RNA
Rfam family: Bacterial small subunit ribosomal RNA
Source: RNAcentral
AGUGAACGCUGGCGGUAGGCCUAACACAUGCAAGUCGAACGGCAGCACAGUAAGAGCUUGCUCUUACGGGUGGCGAGUGGCGGACGGGUGAGGAAUACAUCGGAAUCUACUUUUUCGUGGGGGAUAACGUAGGGAAACUUACGCUAAUACCGCAUACGACCUACGGGUGAAAGCAGGGGAUCUUCGGACCUUGCGCGAUUGAAUGAGCCGAUGUCGGAUUAGCUAGUUGGCGGGGUAAAGGCCCACCAAGGCGACGAUCCGUAGCUGGUCUGAGAGGAUGAUCAGACACACUGGAACGGAGACACGGUCCAGAAUCCUACGGGAGGCAGAAGUGGGGAAUAUUGGACAAUGGGAGCAAGCCUGAACCAGCCAUACCGCGUGGGUGAAGAAGGCAUUCGGGUUGUAAAGCCUUUUUGUUGGGAAAGAAAAGCAGAAGGUUAAUACCCCGCUGUUAUGACGGUACCCAAAGAAUAAGCACCGGCUAAAUUCGUG